UAGGGAAUCUUCGGCAAUGGGGGCAACCCUGACCGAGCAACGCCGCGUGAGUGAAGAAGGUUUUCGGAUCGUAAAGCUCUGUUGUAAGUUAAGAACGAGUGUGAGAGUGGAAAGUUCACACUGUGACGGUAGCUUACCAGAAAGGGACGGCUAACUACGUGCCAGCAGCCGCGGUAAUACGUAGGUCCCGAGCGUUGUCCGGAUUUAUUGGGCGUAAAGCGAGCGCAGGCGGUUUGAUAAGUCUGAAGUUAAAGGCUGUGGCUCAACCAUAGUUCGCUUUGGAAACUGUCAAACUUGAGUGCAGAAGGGGAGAGUGGAAUUCCAUGUGUAGCGGUGAAAUGCGUAGAUAUAUGGAGGAACACCGGUGGCGAAAGCGGCUCUCUGGUCUGUAACUGACGCUGAGGCUCGAAAGCGUGGGGAGCGAACAGGAUUAGAUACCCUGGUAGUCCACGCCGUAAACGAUGAGUGCUAGGUGUUGGAUCCUUUCCGGGAUUCAGUGCCGCAGCUAACGCAUUAAGCACUCCGCCUGGGGAGUACGACCGCAAGGUUG
RNAcentral lists this ribosomal RNA (550 nucleotides) under uncultured bacterium. Its description in RNAcentral is "bacterial SSU rRNA". It matches the Rfam family "Bacterial small subunit ribosomal RNA", at positions 355 to 896 of the family's 1533-position model. The record is from RNAcentral.